AAUAUUGCACAAUGGGCGAAAGCCUGAUGCAGCGACGCCGCGUGGGGGAUGAAGGCCUUCGGGUUGUAAACCCCUUUCAGCAGGGAAGAAGCGAAAGUGACGGUACCUGCAGAAGAAGCGCCGGCUAACUACGUGCCAGCAGCCGCGGUAAUACGUAGGGCGCAAGCGUUGUCCGGAAUUAUUGGGCGUAAAGAGCUCGUAGGCGGUUUGUCGCGUCUGCUGUGAAAACCCGAGGCUCAACCUCGGGCCUGCAGUGGGUACGGGCAGACUAGAGUGCGGUAGGGGAGACUGGAAUUCCUGGUGUAGCGGUGGAAUGCGCAGAUAUCAGGAGGAACACCGAUGGCGAAGGCAGGUCUCUGGGCCGCAACUGACGCUGAGGAGCGAAAGCAUGGGGAGCGAACAGGAUUAGAUACCCUGGUAGUCCAUGCCGUAAACGUUGGGCACUAGGUGUGGGGCUCAUUCCACGAGUUCCGUGCCGCAGCAAACGCAUUAAGUGCCCCGCCUGGGGAGUACGGCCGCAAGGCUAAAACUCAAAGGAAUUGACGGGGG
Molecule: ribosomal RNA, 549 nt
Filed under: Actinotalea ferrariae
Lineage: Bacteria; Bacillati; Actinomycetota; Actinomycetes; Micrococcales; Cellulomonadaceae
Description: bacterial SSU rRNA
Rfam family: Bacterial small subunit ribosomal RNA
Source: RNAcentral